GUGAGUCAUCGAAUCUUUGAACGCACAUUGCGCCCCUUGGUAUUCCGAGGGGCAUGCCUGUUCGAGCGUCAUUACAACCCUCAAGCACUGCUUGGUAUUGGGCCCCGCUGCUAACGCUGCGGGCCUUAAAAUCAGUGGCGGCGCCGCUGGGCUCUGAGCGUAGUAAAUUUCCUCGCUACGGAGUCCUGGCGGCGGUGGUCAUCAACCCCCCAACUUUCUAAGUUUGACCUCGGAUCAGGUAGGGAUACCCGCUGAACUUAAGCAUAUCAAUAAGCGGAGGA
RNAcentral lists this unclassified non-coding RNA (281 nucleotides) under Helotiales sp. RNAcentral's name for it is "partial contains 5.8S ribosomal RNA, internal transcribed spacer 2, and large subunit ribosomal RNA". The stretch from base 1 to 71 matches the Rfam family "5.8S ribosomal RNA", at positions 84 to 154 of the family's 154-position model. The record is from RNAcentral. Lineage: Eukaryota; Fungi; Ascomycota; Leotiomycetes; Helotiales.